CGUGUAGGCGGCUGAGCAAGUCAGAUGUGAAAUCCCUGGGCUUAACCCAGGAAGUGCAUUUGAAACUGCUUAGCUUGAGUAAGGAAGAGGGAAGUGGAAUUCCUGGUGUAGAGGUGAAAUUCGUAGAUAUCAGGAAGAACACCGGUGGCGAAGGCGACUUCCUGGUCCUAUACUGACGCUGAGACGCGAGAGCGUGGGGAGCAAACAG
RNAcentral lists this ribosomal RNA (208 nucleotides) under uncultured Syntrophus sp. RNAcentral describes it as "partial 16S ribosomal RNA". It matches the Rfam family "Bacterial small subunit ribosomal RNA", at positions 568 to 775 of the family's 1533-position model. The record is from RNAcentral. Lineage: Bacteria; Pseudomonadati; Thermodesulfobacteriota; Syntrophia; Syntrophales; Syntrophaceae.